UGUGAGCUCGAUGAGUAGGGCGGGACACGUGGUAUCCUGUCUGAAUAUGGGGGGACCAUCCUCCAAGGCUAAAUACUCCUGACUGACCGAUAGUGAACCAGUACCGUGAGGGAAAGGCGAAAAGAACCCCGGCGAGGGGAGUGAAAAAGAACCUGAAACCGUGUACGUACAAGCAGUGGGAGCACGCUUAGGCGUGUGACUGCGUACCUUUUGUAUAAUGGGUCAGCGACUUAUAUUCUGUAGCAAGGUUAACCGAAUAGGGGAGCCGAAGGGAAACCGAGUCUUAACUGGGCGUUAAGUUGCAGGGUAUAGACCCGAAACCCGGUGAUCUAGCCAUGGGCAGGUUGAAGGUUGGGUAACACUAACUGGAGGACCGAACCGACUAAUGUUGAAAAAUUAGCGGAUGACUUGUGGCUGGGGGUGAAAGGCCAAUCAAACCGGGAGAUAGCUGGUUCUCCCCGAAAGCUAUUUAGGUAGCGCCUCGUGAAUUCAUCUCCGGGGGUAGAGCACUGUUUCGGCAAGGGGGUCAUCCCGACUUACCAACCCGAUGCAAACUGCGAAUACCGGAGAAUGUUAUCACGGGAGACACACGGCGGGUGCUAACGUCCGUCGUGAAGAGGGAAACAACCCAGACCGCCAGCUAAGGUCCCAAAGUCAUGGUUAAGUGGGAAACGAUGUGGGAAGGCCCAGACAGCCAGGAUGUUGGCUUAGAAGCAGCCAUCAUUUAAAGAAAGCGUAAUAGCUCACUGGUCGAGUCGGCCUGCGCGGAAGAUGUAACGGGGCUAAACCAUGCACCGAAGCUGCGGCAGCGACGCUGAUGCGUUGUUGGGUAGGGGAGCGUUCUGUAAGCCUGCGAAGGUGUGCUGUGAGGCAUGCUGGAGGUAUCAGAAGUGCGAAUGCUGACAUAAGUAACGAUAAAGCGGGUGAAAAGCCCGCUCGCCGGAAGACCAAGGGUUCCUGUCCAACGUUAAUCGGGGCAGGGUGAGUCGACCCCUAAGGCGAGGCCGAAAGGCGUAGUCGAUGGGAAACAGGUUAAUAUUCCUGUACUUGGUGUUACUGCGAAGGGGGGACGGAGAAGGCUAUGUUGGCCGGGCGACGGUUGUCCCGGUUUAAGCGUGUAGGCUGGUUUUCCAGGCAAAUCCGGAAAAUCAAGGCUGAGGCGUGAUGACGAGGCACUACGGUGCUGAAGCAACAAAUGCCCUGCUUCCAGGAAAAGCCUCUAAGCAUCAGGUAACAUCAAAUCGUACCCCAAACCGACACAGGUGGUCAGGUAGAGAAUACCAAGGCGCUUGAGAGAACUCGGGUGAAGGAACUAGGCAAAAUGGUGCCGUAACUUCGGGAGAAGGCACGCUGAUAUGUAGGUGAAGUCCCUCGCGGAUGGAGCUGAAAUCAGUCGAAGAUACCAGCUGGCUGCAACUGUUUAUUAAAAACACAGCACUGUGCAAACACGAAAGUGGACGUAUACGGUGUGACGCCUGCCCGGUGCCGGAAGGUUAAUUGAUGGGGUCAGCGCAAGCGAAGCUCUUGAUCGAAGCCCCGGUAAACGGCGGCCGUAACUAUAACGGUCCUAAGGUAGCGAAAUUCCUUGUCGGGUAAGUUCCGACCUGCACGAAUGGCGUAAUGAUGGCCAGGCUGUCUCCACCCGAGACUCAGUGAAAUUGAACUCGCUGUGAAGAUGCAGUGUACCCGCGGCAAGACGGAAAGACCCCGUGAACCUUUACUAUAGCUUGACACUGAACAUUGAGCCUUGAUGUGUAGGAUAGGUGGGAGGCUUGGAAGUGUGGACGCCAGUCUGCAUGGAGCCGACCUUGAAAUACCACCCUUUAAUGUUUGAUGUUCUAACGUUGACCCGUAAUCCGGGUUGCGGACAGUGUCUGGUGGGUAGUUUGACUGGGGCGGUCUCCUCCUAAAGAGUAACGGAGGAGCACGAAGGUUGGCUAAUCCUGGUCGGACAUCAGGAGGUUAGUGCAAUGGCAUAAGCCAGCUUGACUGCGAGCGUGACGGCGCGAGCAGGUGCGAAAGCAGGUCAUAGUGAUCCGGUGGUUCUGAAUGGAAGGGCCAUCGCUCAACGGAUAAAAGGUACUCCGGGGAUAACAGGCUGAUACCGCCCAAGAGUUCAUAUCGACGGCGGUGUUUGGCACCUCGAUGUCGGCUCAUCACAUCCUGGGGCUGAAGUAGGUCCCAAGGGUAUGGCUGUUCGCCAUUUAAAGUGGUACGCGAGCUGGGUUUAGAACGUCGUGAGACAGUUCGGUCCCUAUCUGCCGUGGGCGCUGGAGAACUGAGGGGGGCUGCUCCUAGUACGAGAGGACCGGAGUGGACGCAUCACUGGUGUUCGGGUUGUCAUGCCAAUGGCACUGCCCGGUAGCUAAAUGCGGAAGAGAUAAGUGCUGAAAGCAUCUAAGCACGAAACUUGCCCCGAGAUGAGUUCUCCCUGACUCCUUGAGAGUCCUGAAGGAACGUUGAAGACGACGACGUUGAUAGGCCGGGUGUGUAAGCGCAGCGAUGCGUUGAGCUAACCGGUACUAAUGAACCGUGAGGCUUAACCUU
RNAcentral lists this ribosomal RNA (2547 nucleotides) under Escherichia coli. RNAcentral's name for it is "partial 23S ribosomal RNA". It matches the Rfam family "Bacterial large subunit ribosomal RNA", at positions 398 to 2925 of the family's 2925-position model. The record is from RNAcentral. Lineage: Bacteria; Pseudomonadati; Pseudomonadota; Gammaproteobacteria; Enterobacterales; Enterobacteriaceae.